Molecule: long non-coding RNA, 382 nt
Filed under: Heterocephalus glaber (naked mole-rat)
Lineage: Eukaryota; Metazoa; Chordata; Mammalia; Rodentia; Bathyergidae
Description: lncRNA (ENSHGLG00100042595.1)
Source: RNAcentral
CAACAAUUCAGAUCAAGUUCUGCCCUCCCCUUUUUCUUUCCAGGGGAUAAUAUUGUUCAGAACUGGCUAACUUCUAGUUAAAAAUCUGUAUCUUCAUUUUCAUCGUUAAUGAAAUGCAAGAAUUGGACCAGCUUGUCACUAAGGUUUUCUUCAGCUCUUGACCUCUGUUGAAGGAUCCUUUGGAGUCUUAGAAUUUUUGGCAGUACCUUGAAGGGAUGGAAACUGUUCAUCUGGAGUUGGACUUGAGGAUGAACCAGGAGGCCCGGUGCUCAGCUGUAAUUUGAUGAUUUAUCUGAUCCAGAUGUGUGACCAGCAAGCUACAUUUCUAAUUAUAAAGACAGCCAAAUUCCAUUAUAAGAACAUCAUGGGAUUACAGGACCGG